AGAGUUUGAUCCUGGCUCAGGACGAACGCUGGCGGCGUGCCUAAUACAUGCAAGUCGAGCGGAUUCAUCCUUCGGGAUGAGUUAGCGGCGGACGGGUGAGUAACACGUAGGCAACCUGCCUAUAAGAUCGGGAUAACUAUCGGAAACGAUAGCUAAGACCGGAUAGCUGGUUUUCUCGCAUGAGAGAAUCAUGAAACACG
Molecule: ribosomal RNA, 200 nt
Filed under: uncultured bacterium
Lineage: Bacteria
Description: partial 16S ribosomal RNA
Rfam family: Bacterial small subunit ribosomal RNA
Source: RNAcentral